This is a long non-coding RNA of Cebus imitator (Panamanian white-faced capuchin), 453 nucleotides long. RefSeq lists it as uncharacterized. NCBI's taxonomy places the organism in Eukaryota, Metazoa, Chordata, Mammalia, Primates, Cebidae. The transcript is spliced from 4 exons. The record is from RefSeq and is a predicted model, not a curated record.
CCCACCUAAAGGAAAGGCGCACAGCGGGCAGCUGAGGCGCCAGACCACGCUGCCCAAGAGAGGCCAAGUCGCUCUGGCCCGGAGCGUGACAGCAGGCGAGGCUGGUUACCCUCAGAAAGAGAUAACUACACGCCCCCAGGGCAAAAACUGACCCCCCUCCCCCAGGUGGACUUGCAGACAAGAGCAACACCUUUAAGGCAGGUCACACUGGUGGUUUCUCCCUACCCUGGUCCAAAUCAAUAACCAGUGUGGGAACCAUCAAACAUUUAAAGCCUUAUCAUGAGCCGAGGUUAUCACCAUUACAGGCAGAAAAAUUCUGCCUGACCUUUCCCAUCUUCCUGAUGAUGUUAACAAACGACAGCCACUUACUUGGGGCACAGGAGGCGGCUCUACACAGGCCAAGAGCUACAGGCUACAGACUGAGCACAGAAAACCCUGCAGCUCCAGCAUCCA